RNAcentral lists this ribosomal RNA (492 nucleotides) under uncultured bacterium. Its description in RNAcentral is "partial 16S ribosomal RNA". It matches the Rfam family "Bacterial small subunit ribosomal RNA", at positions 29 to 507 of the family's 1533-position model. The record is from RNAcentral.
AGUGAACGCUGGCGGUAGGCCUAACGCAUGCAAGUCGAACGGCAGCACAGUAAGAGCUAGCUCUUACGGGUGGCGAGUGGCGGACGGGUGAGGAAUACAUCGGAAUCUACUUUUUCGUGGGGGAUAACGUAGGGAAACUUACGCUAAUACCGCAUACGACCUACGGGUGAAAGCAGGGGAUCUUCGGACCUUGCGCGAUUGAAUGAGCCGAUGUCGGAUUAGCUAGUUGGCGGGGUAAAGGCCCACCAAGGCGACGAUCCGUAGCUGGUCUGAGAGGAUGAUCAGCCACACUGGAACUGAGACACGGUCCAGACUCCUACGGGAGGCAGCAGUGGGGAAUAUUGGACAAUGGGCGCAAGCCUGAUCCAGCCAUACCGCGUGGGUGAAGAAGGCCUUCGGGUUGUAAAGCCCUUUUGUUGGGAAAGAAAAGCAGCAGGUUAAUACCCCGCUGUUCUGACGGUACCCAAAGAAUAAGCACCGGCUAACUUCGUG